UUAAGGCCUCAUGCGACGACGGGUAGCCGGCCUGAGAGGGCGACCGGCCACACUGGGACUGAGACACGGCCCAGACUCCUACGGGAGGCAGCAGUGGGGAAUAUUGCACAAUGGGCGAAAGCCUGAUGCAGCGACGCCGCGUGAGGGAUGACGGCCUUCGGGUUGUAAACCUCUUUCAGCAGGGAAGAAGCGAAAGUGACGGUACCUGCAGAAGAAGCGCCGGCUAACUACGUGCCAGCAGCCGCGGUAAUACGUAGGGCGCAAGCGUUGUCCGGAAUUAUUGGGCGUAAAGAGCUCGUAGGCGGCUUGUCACGUCGGAUGUGAAAGCCCGGGGCUUAACCCCGGGUCUGCAUUCGAUACGGGCUAGCUAGAGUGUGGUAGGGGAGAUCGGAAUUCCUGGUGUAGCGGUGAAAUGCGCAGAUAUCAGGAGGAACACCGGUGGCGAAGGCGGAUCUCUGGGCCAUUACUGACGCUGAGGAGCGAAAGCGUGGGGAGCGAACAGGAUUAGAUACCCUGGUAGUCCACGCCGUAAACGUUGGGAACUAGGUGUUGGCGACAUUCCACGUCGUCGGUGCCGCAGCUAACGCAUUAAGUUCCCCGCCUGGGG
Molecule: ribosomal RNA, 607 nt
Filed under: Streptomyces sp.
Lineage: Bacteria; Bacillati; Actinomycetota; Actinomycetes; Kitasatosporales; Streptomycetaceae
Description: bacterial SSU rRNA
Rfam family: Bacterial small subunit ribosomal RNA
Source: RNAcentral